RNAcentral lists this ribosomal RNA (837 nucleotides) under uncultured bacterium. RNAcentral describes it as "partial 16S small subunit ribosomal RNA". It matches the Rfam family "Bacterial small subunit ribosomal RNA", at positions 56 to 890 of the family's 1533-position model. The record is from RNAcentral.
UGCAGUNNNNNGUAACAUUUCUAGCUUGCUAGAAGAUGACGAGUGGCNGNNNGNNGAGUAAUGCUUGGGAACUUGCCUUUGCGAGGGGGAUAACAGUUGGAAACGACUGCUAAUACCGCAUAAUGUCUUCGGACCAAACGGGGCUUCGGCUCCGGCGCAAAGAGAGGCCCAAGUGAGAUUAGCUAGUUGGUAAGGUAACGGCUUACCAAGGCGACGAUCUCUAGCUGUUCUGAGAGGAAGAUCAGCCACACUGGGACUGAGACACGGCCCAGACUCCUACGGGAGGCAGCAGUGGGGAAUAUUGCACAAUGGGGGAAACCCUGAUGCAGCCAUGCCGCGUGUGUGAAGAAGACCUUCGGGUUGUAAAGCACUUUCAGUUGUGAGGAAAAGUUAGUAGUUAAUACCUGCUAGCCGUGACGUUAACAACAGAAGAAGCACCGGNNNNNNNNGUGCCAGCAGCCGCGGUAAUACGGAGGGUGCGAGCGUUAAUCGGAAUUACUGGGCGUAAAGCGCACGCAGGCGGUUUGUUAAGCUAGAUGUGAAAGCCCCGGGCUCAACCUGGGAUGGUCAUUUAGAACUGGCAGACUAGAGUCUUGGAGAGGGGAGUGGAAUUCCAGGUGUAGCGGUGAAAUGCGUAGAUAUCUGGAGGAACAUCAGUGGCGAAGGCGACUCCCUGGCCAAAGACUGACGCUCAUGUGCGAAAGUGUGGGUAGCGAACAGGAUUAGAUACCCUGGUAGUCCACACCGUAAACGCUGUCUACUAGCUGUGUGUGCCUUUNANGGNGUGNGUAGCGAANCUAACGCGCUAAGUAGACNGNCUGGGGNAGUACGGCCGCA